RNAcentral lists this ribosomal RNA (261 nucleotides) under uncultured bacterium. RNAcentral describes it as "partial 16S ribosomal RNA". It matches the Rfam family "Bacterial small subunit ribosomal RNA", at positions 99 to 353 of the family's 1533-position model. The record is from RNAcentral.
CGGACGGGUGAGUAACGCGUGAGUAACCUGCCUUUCAGAGGGGGAUAACGUUCGUGAAAAGAAACGCUAAUACCGCAUAACAUCAAUUUAUCGCAUGAUAGGUUGAUCAAAGGAGACAAUCCGCUGGAAGAUGGACUCGCGUCCGAUUAGCCAGUUGGCGGGGUAACGGCCCACCAAAGCGACGAUCGGUAGCCGGACUGAGAGGUUGAACGGCCACAUUGGGACUGAGACACGGCCCAGACUCCUACGGGAGGCAGCAUG